UAAGGAAUAUUGGUCAAUGGACGCAAGUCUGAACCAGCCAUGCCGCGUGAAGGAUGAAGGUCCUCUGGAUUGUAAACUUCUUUUAUCUGGGACGAAAACGGGAUUUUUAUCUCAAUUGACGGUACCAGAGGAAUAAGCACCGGCUAACUCUGUGCCAGCAGCCGCGGUAAUACGGAGGGUGCGAGCGUUAUCCGGAUUUACUGGGUUUAAAGGGUGCGUAGGUGGGCUUAUAAGUCAGUGGUGAAAUCUCCGAGCUUAACUUGGAAACUGCCGUUGAUACUAUAGGUCUUGAAUUAUCUGGAGGUAAGCGGAAUAUGUCAUGUAGCGGUGAAAUGCUUAGAUAUGACAUAGAACACCAAUUGCGAAGGCAGCUUACUACAUAUAAAUUGACGCUGAGGCACGAAAGCGUGGGGAUCAAACA
Molecule: ribosomal RNA, 421 nt
Filed under: uncultured bacterium
Lineage: Bacteria
Description: bacterial SSU rRNA
Rfam family: Bacterial small subunit ribosomal RNA
Source: RNAcentral